CUGGACGUUACACACAUCCACUUUCACCACAAAUCUAAUAUACCCCAAUACUCAUUUUGAGUAUCGGGUAUAAAAAGCGCUGUGCCACGACUUCGUCUUGCCUAAAAUGAUCAUAGAAUUGCCAAGCUGUGCAGUAUAUUUUUCCGCCAUAAUAUUCAACAGCCUGAUGAAAUAGGGGUACUAUUCAUAAGGGUAAACGUGGAAUCUAUUUUGUGACCCGAAAUCGAUCAUCAGCUGCGCCCACAGCAGCAGGAUUGGCGCGUGUUUUUAACAUUAACUGUAAACUCAAUAGGUAUGAUAUGGUGAUGUGUCGCAAAAUAAUUGCCUAAAUUGCACUUUGGUGGCACAAACGAAAUUUCAGAGCACGUCAGCUGAAGGAUAAAAUGCACUGUAUACACAUUAGCGCUCCAAAAUUUGUUUCAUUUGAAACUAUAAAUAUUGGUUUAUACAAAUACGUAGACACAAAAAUAUACAUAUAGUAAGUUCUAGGAUAUCGUCAUAAUCAAAAGGUUUAGCAUGAGCGUAAGAAUCUGAAACAAACUAAAUGUAUCUACUCAUCACAUUUGCAUGGACAUAUCAUCUGCAUAUGUAUGUACAUAGUGUCAGUAAACAAGUUUUAACAAACACUGUCAUCUUACUCCUCACUCUUUCAAGAGAUAUAACACAAACAAAUGUAAUCUAAAGAAAAUCAUAUUUAUACAAUCGCAUUCUUAAAUUUAUUAUUGAUUUAUUAAACUGCACCUGGAUUUUGGUUUCCGGGUUAACUUAUCCUAUAUUAAGGGCGGGUCUUUUCGAAAGAUAAAAUAUAUGUUAUAUCGAAGCACCAAUAAAGGUAUGAUUGUAUAUAAACACAACUAUUCUAUUUCUGAUUUUUUAUAGCGACAUUCACAAGACUAUGGCAAUUCUCAUGAAAAUUCAUAUAUAUAAAACAUGGUAUUUUUAAGGAAAUAAGUUAUCCUCUGUUGUAAAUUACUAUAACAAAA
Molecule: long non-coding RNA, 983 nt
Organism: Drosophila pseudoobscura
Lineage: Eukaryota; Metazoa; Arthropoda; Insecta; Diptera; Drosophilidae
Exons: 2
Source: RefSeq, a predicted model, not a curated record